CCAAGUUAAAACUUUACUGAUUUAUAAUCCUUCCUACAAGGAUUGUAUAUUUUAAAAAUCCAGCCAAUUUAGGAGAUUGAAAAUUUAAGAAGUUGUUUAUUUUGAAUGCAAAUACAAAAUGAAGAUUUUCUUCAACUUGUUAAUUAGUGAGGGAACCAGUAAAAUGGAGAAAACAGCCCAAAAAAGCAUUUGAGAAGCUAGAUAACAAGACAGUUUCAUAGAUUGCUGGGUUAGAUAAAAAUUUACUAAUUCAUAUCACUGUCAUAAGCUGUAAUCUUUUGGGGUUAGCUUUUCCACUGGUUAGAAAUUAUUUCUGUCUCUAUUUGGCACAUUAACCUCUGCCCCUAACAAGUUGUAAAAUAGCCCAGUAAUGGGAAGUCAUGCCCGUUACUGUUCUGAAAGAACACUCAAUUUUGCCUUUGCUAUUUCCAGAUUCCAGUGUCUGUUGAGUCUUCUGCCCAUUACUACUUGGAUUGCUAUUUCACUGUUGAGUUUGAAGAAGUAUUUAUCCUGGAUACAAGUCCUUGUCAGAUAAGAGAUUUGGAAAUUAUUUUUUCCAGUCAGUGUAUUCUUCCCUCGAUGAUUCCUUUUUUGACCUAUGAAUUGUUUAGAAGUGUGUUCUUUAAUACCCAACCAUUAGGAGAUUUUUCUUUUAUCUUUCCGUUAUUGCUGUCUAGCUGAUUACAUUAUGGUCAGAGAAAAUACUUUCAAUUUGUCAGUAUUCCAUUUCAUCUAUCUAUUGUUUUAAAAAUUUCUUAGUUAUUUUUUUAAUGAUUACACUAUACAUACAUAGUUUAUCACAGUCUAGUGGCAUCAACACUUCAUCAUUUAUGUGGAAUGUAGAUAUCUUACAACACCAAAGUCACUCUGCCCUCUCCUCUUUAUGAUAUAGUCAUCUUUAUUAUUACCACUACAUACACUGAGAAUGCUAUAAGCUUUGCUUCUGUCAAAAAUAAUUUCUAAAAUUCAUGCAAAGAAUAGUUUAUUACAGUUACCCCUUCUAUCACCCUUCUUUUUUCCUGUUGUGCUGAGUUUCCUUUUGUUACUAUUUUCUUCCUUUCUGAAUAGCAUCUUUCUAUUUUUUUCAGAAUAGGUCUGCUGCCAAGAAAUUACUUUAGCUUUUCUUCAUUUGAGUUGCCUUUAUUUCAUCUGCAAUCCUGAAGAAUGUUUUUGCUGGAUAUAAAGUUCUUGAUUGACAAUUCUUUUCUUUUAGUAUUGGAAAAUAAUGUGCCACUUCCUUCUGGCCUCUGGUUUCUGAUAAUAAAUCCUUUGUCGUUUGAAUCUUUGUUUUCCUGUGUUUCUCCUUAAUACUUUGAAGAUCUUUCUUUGCCUUUCAUUUUCAGAAGUUUGAUUAUGAUGUAUCCAGGUGUGUGUUUCCUUGGGCUUUAAACUGUUUUAUUGAAUUGGUAGGUUUAUGUCUUUUGCCUAAUUUGGAAAGGUUUCAUCCAUUAUUUCUUCAAAUAUUUUUUCAGCCCUGCUUUCUUUUUUCCUUUUUUCCAAACUCUGGUAAACUGAACAACAGAUCUGUUAUUCUUGUCCUGCAGGUCCCUGAGUCUCAGUUGAUUUUUUAAAAAGGUAUUUUUCUACUUUUCAAGUUAGAUAAGUAUUAUUGAAUUAUCUUCUAGUUUUCUGAUUUUUUAAAUUAUUAUCUCCAUUCAGUUUUUGUAUAUCUUAUAUCUGGAAAUAUUGUGAAACUCAUUACUUCUAGUAGCUCUUUUGUAGAUUCCACUGGAUUUUCUGUGUAGUCAAUCAUAUUAUCUUUUCUAUAUAGACAAUCAUUAUAGGCAAUAAACAUAUGCAGUUUUAUUUCUUCCUUUUCAAUUUGGAAGUUCUUUACUUAUGUUUCCUGCCUUAUUGCACUAGCUAAGAACAUUAUAAUAUUGAAUAGAAGUGGUAAGAGCAGACUUCUUUCUCUUGUUCCCUUUCUUAAGGGGAAAAUAUCUGAUGUUUCACCAUUUAACAUGAUAUUAGUCGUGGGUUUUUUUCUGUAGAUGUAUUUAUCAUGUUGAGGAAGUUUC
Molecule: non-coding RNA, 2018 nt
Organism: Manis javanica (Malayan pangolin)
Lineage: Eukaryota; Metazoa; Chordata; Mammalia; Pholidota; Manidae
Source: RefSeq, a predicted model, not a curated record